AUAUGAUCUUUUUUUUGUCAACGUUGUUUCAUUUUCAUUAGCCUAAUGGGCAAGAGAAAAAAAGUACAAACAAGUCUAUUAAGUCCCAGAUGACAUAAACAGAUUACCAUGAAAGACAAGAAAAAGAUACACGUAAAAGACAGUAGUCUUCCAUUUACUCAACUUUGGGCCACGUUGCAGCCAGAGAGGAAGCGCUUCAUGCACUUACCGCUGACUAUACUUCGCCGUCGCCGUCGCCGGUAUGGUUCUGCCAUGAAUUCACCAUCUUGAACACCUCCGGUUACCGACGCGAUCUGACUUUCGUUUUACCUCUGUCUCAUUACUCUCUCACUAAUCACCAAAGCAUGAAACUAGAUCCACUUUCAUCACCUUCAUGAAGCACUAGAGACCCAAAGGAGAACCAGAUCAUUCGCUGAGACAUCCAUGAACAAACCUCAAUUCUGCUUAAUAGAAUUCCGAAUCCCUAAAGAUCUCUAAUCAACCUGAAUCACAUCCAAAGAACACUCCACGCAAGGCCUAAUUUAUUGACCGAAAAGCAUGAAGCUUUACUUCUAAUGGAAGCGAACAAGCAAAGAUGAAGAGAAGAAGAACGUGAUACAUGUGCUUUGUAUUUAGAGCAAGCAAAGAGGAUAGGUCCAACCAUCCUAAAGAUUGGAACCAAACAGACUUUAUUAAAAUCAGUUUGAAUCGGAGAAAACAUAAGAAACUUGAAGCAAAGCUCCAAUUUUAAAACACAUCAAAAUUUGUCUAGCGAAAUGAAAAUCCGACAAACGGAAAAGACAAUCGAUCUUUCGAUCAAAUUAUUUUAUAUCAAAACAAAAGAUCUCUUCCUCUUCUGAAGGAUUUUGUACCGGUAAGAAGGAGAAGAAGAGAGAGCAAUUUCUCUCUCUAACAAUUUACAUGAUCUCAUAAAAUAAUUAUGACCGAACUGAAUAUCAAUACAAAUAUAUCAGUUUGGAUAUUUGGAUCCAACUAAAUCGCAUAAGCCCAACGUCAACAUCAUUCUCGAC
Molecule: long non-coding RNA, 1010 nt
Filed under: Brassica napus (rape)
Lineage: Eukaryota; Viridiplantae; Streptophyta; Magnoliopsida; Brassicales; Brassicaceae
Description: long non-coding RNA (BNAP_LNC014046)
Source: RNAcentral